Molecule: unclassified non-coding RNA, 22 nt
Filed under: Dictyostelium discoideum
Lineage: Eukaryota; Evosea; Eumycetozoa; Dictyosteliales; Dictyosteliaceae
Source: RNAcentral
AAUAGUAAAUCCAGUAGUGGGA